GAUGAACGCUGGCGGCGUGCCUAAUACAUGCAAGUCGAGCGAACAGACGAGGAGCUUGCUCCUCUGACGUUAGCGGCGGACGGGUGAGUAACACGUGGAUAACCUACCUAUAAGACUGGGAUAACUUCGGGAACCCGGAGCUAAUACCGGAUAAUAUAUUGAACCGCAUGGUUCAAUAGUGAAAGACGGUUUUGCUGUCACUUAUAGAUGGAUCCGCGCCGCAUUAGCUAGUUGGUAAGGUAACGGCUUACCAAGGCAACGAUGCGUAGCCGACCUGAGAGGGUGAUCGGCCACACUGGAACUGAGACACGGUCCAGACUCCUACGGGAGGCAGCAGUAGGGAAUCUUCCGCAAUGGGCGAAAGCCUGACGGAGCAACGCCGCGUGAGUGAUGAAGGUCUUCGGAUCUUAAAACUCUGUUAUUAGGGAAGAACAAAUGUGUAAGUAACUAUGCACGUCUUGACGGUACCUAAUCAGAAAGCCACGGCUAACUACGUG
This 497-nucleotide ribosomal RNA is filed under the name uncultured bacterium. RNAcentral's name for it is "partial 16S ribosomal RNA". It matches the Rfam family "Bacterial small subunit ribosomal RNA", at positions 28 to 507 of the family's 1533-position model. The record is from RNAcentral.